GGUUAAGCGACUAAGCGUACACGGUGGAUGCCCUGGCAGUCAGAGGCGAUGAAGGACGUGCUAAUCUGCGAAAAGCGUCGGUAAGGUGAUAUGAACCGUUAUAACCGGCGAUGUCCGAAUGGGGAAACCCAGUGCAAUUCGUUGCACUAUCGUUAACUGAAUACAUAGGUUAACGAGGCGAACCGGGGGAACUGAAACAUCUAAGUACCCCGAGGAAAAGAAAUCAACCGAGAUUCCCCCAGUAGCGGCGAGCGAACGGGGAGCAGCCCAGAGUCUGAAUCAGCUUGUGUGUUAGUGGAACGGUCUGGAAAGUCCGACGGUACAGGGUGAUAGUCCCGUACACCAAAAUGCACAGGCUGUGAACUCGAAGAGUAGGGCGGGACACGUGGUAUCCUGUCUGAAUAUGGGGGGACCAUCCUCCAAGGCUAAAUACUCCUGACUGACCGAUAGUGAACCAGUACCGUGAGGGAAAGGCGAAAAGAACCCCGGCGAGGGGAGUGAAAAAGAACCUGAAACCGUGUACGUACAAGCAGUGGGAGCACCUUCGGGUGUGACUGCGUACCUUUUGUAUAAUGGGUCAGCGACUUAUAUUCUGUAGCAAGGUUAACCGUAUAGGGGAGCCGCAGGGAAACCGAGUCUUAACUGGGCGUUAAGUUGCAGGGUAUAGACCCGAAACCCGGUGAUCUAGCCAUGGGCAGGUUGAAGGUUGGGUAACACUAACUGGAGGACCGAACCGACUAAUGUUGAAAAAUUAGCGGAUGACUUGUGGCUGGGGGUGAAAGGCCAAUCAAACCGGGAGAUAGCUGGUUCUCCCCGAAAGCUAUUUAGGUAGCGCCUCGUGAACUCAUCUUCGGGGGUAGAGCACUGUUUCGGCUAGGGGGUCAUCCCGACUUACCAACCCGAUGCAAACUACGAAUACCGAAGAAUGUUAUCACGGGAGACACACGGUGGGUGCUAACGUCCGUCGUGAAGAGGGAAACAACCCAGACCGCCAGCUAAGGUCCCAAAGUCAUGGUUAAGUGGGAAACGAUGUGGGAAGGCACAGACAGCCAGGAUGUUGGCUUAGAAGCAGCCAUCAUUUAAAGAAAGCGUAAUAGCUCACUGGUCGAGUCGGCCUGCGCGGAAGAUGUAACGGGGCUAAACCAUGCACCGAAGCUGCGGCAGCGACACUAUGUGUUGUUGGGUAGGGGAGCGUUCUGUAAGCCUGCGAAGGUGACCUGUGAGGGUUGCUGGAGGUAUCAGAAGUGCGAAUGCUGACAUAAGUAACGAUAAAGCGGGUGAAAAGCCCGCUCGCCGGAAGACCAAGGGUUCCUGUCCAACGUUAAUCGGGGCAGGGUGAGUCGACCCCUAAGGCGAGGCCGAAAGGCGUAGUCGAUGGGAAACAGGUUAAUAUUCCUGUACUUGGUGUUACUGCGAAGGGGGGACGGAGAAGGCUAUGUUAGCCGGGCGACGGUUGUCCCGGUUUAAGCAUGUAGGCUGGUUAUCCAGGCAAAUCCGGAUAAUCAAGGCUGAGGUGUGAUGACGAGGCACUACGGUGCUGAAGUAACAAAUGCCCUGCUUCCAGGAAAAGCCUCUAAGCAUCAGGUAACAUCAAAUCGUACCCCAAACCGACACAGGUGGUCAGGUAGAGAAUACCAAGGCGCUUGAGAGAACUCGGGUGAAGGAACUAGGCAAAAUGGUGCCGUAACUUCGGGAGAAGGCACGCUGGUGUGUAGGUGAAGCCCCUGCGGGUGGAGCUGAGACCAGUCGAAGAUACCAGCUGGCUGCAACUGUUUAUUAAAAACACAGCACUGUGCAAACACGAAAGUGGACGUAUACGGUGUGACGCCUGCCCGGUGCCGGAAGGUUAAUUGAUGGGGUUAUCCGUAAGGAGAAGCUCUUGAUCGAAGCCCCGGUAAACGGCGGCCGUAACUAUAACGGUCCUAAGGUAGCGAAAUUCCUUGUCGGGUAAGUUCCGACCUGCACGAAUGGCGUAAUGAUGGCCAGGCUGUCUCCACCCGAGACUCAGUGAAAUUGAACUCGCUGUGAAGAUGCAGUGUACCCGCGGCAAGACGGAAAGACCCCGUGAACCUUUACUAUAGCUUGACACUGAACAUUGAGCCUUGAUGUGUAGGAUAGGUGGGAGGCUUUGAAGCGUGGACGCCAGUCUGCGUGGAGCCAACCUUGAAAUACCACCCUUUAAUGUUUGAUGUUCUAACGUUGGCCCCUUACCGGGGUUGCGGACAGUGUCUGGUGGGUAGUUUGACUGGGGCGGUCUCCUCCCAAAGCGUAACGGAGGAGCACGAAGGUUAGCUAAUCCUGGUCGGACAUCAGGAGGUUAGUGCAAUGGCAUAAGCUAGCUUGACUGCGAGCGUGACGGCGCGAGCAGGUGCGAAAGCAGGUCAUAGUGAUCCGGUGGUUCUGAAUGGAAGGGCCAUCGCUCAACGGAUAAAAGGUACUCCGGGGAUAACAGGCUGAUACCGCCCAAGAGUUCAUAUCGACGGCGGUGUUUGGCACCUCGAUGUCGGCUCAUCACAUCCUGGGGCUGAAGUAGGUCCCAAGGGUAUGGCUGUUCGCCAUUUAAAGUGGUACGCGAGCUGGGUUUAGAACGUCGUGAGACAGUUCGGUCCCUAUCUGCCGUGGGCGCUGGAGAAUUGAGGGGGGCUGCUCCUAGUACGAGAGGACCGGAGUGGACGCAUCACUGGUGUUCGGGUUGUCAUGCCAAUGGCACUGCCCGGUAGCUAAAUGCGGAAGAGAUAAGUGCUGAAAGCAUCUAAGCACGAAACUUGCCCCGAGAUGAGUUCUCCCUGAGACUUUAAGUCUCCUGAAGGAACGUUAAAGACGAUGACGUUGAUAGGCCGGGUGUGUAAGCGCAGCGAUGCGUUGAGCUAACCGGUACUAAUGAACCGUGAGGCUUAACCUU
Molecule: ribosomal RNA, 2902 nt
Filed under: Klebsiella pneumoniae
Lineage: Bacteria; Pseudomonadati; Pseudomonadota; Gammaproteobacteria; Enterobacterales; Enterobacteriaceae
Description: 23S ribosomal RNA
Rfam family: Bacterial large subunit ribosomal RNA
Source: RNAcentral